GCGUAAUUGGUUUAGUGGUAAAAUUCUCCGUUGCCAUCAGAGCUUCUAACGAAACUCGUAAGCUCGGGGAGCCCUGGGUUCGAUUCCCAGAUUACGCA
This is a transfer RNA of Fusarium langsethiae, 98 nucleotides long. It matches the Rfam family "tRNA". From Rfam's summary of the family: Transfer RNA (tRNA) molecules are approximately 80 nucleotides in length. Their secondary structure includes four short double-helical elements and three loops (D, anti-codon, and T loops). The record is from Rfam. Lineage: Eukaryota; Fungi; Ascomycota; Sordariomycetes; Hypocreales; Nectriaceae.